AUUCAAUUAGUAUAUAAAAGUAUAUUAAGCUUCCAACUUAAAGGGUUAUAAAAAUAAAUUGAAUA
RNAcentral lists this transfer RNA (65 nucleotides) under Nesophrosyne sp. 302 GMB-2012. RNAcentral's name for it is "tRNA-Gly". The record is from RNAcentral. Lineage: Eukaryota; Metazoa; Arthropoda; Insecta; Hemiptera; Cicadellidae.